RNAcentral lists this ribosomal RNA (460 nucleotides) under uncultured bacterium. RNAcentral's name for it is "partial 16S ribosomal RNA". It matches the Rfam family "Bacterial small subunit ribosomal RNA", at positions 338 to 795 of the family's 1533-position model. The record is from RNAcentral.
CCUACGGGAGGCAGCAGUGAGGAAUAUUGGUCAAUGGACGAGAGGCUGAACCAGCCAAGCAGCGUGAAGGAUGACUGUCCUAUGGGUUGUAAACUUCUUUUAUAUGGGAACAAAACAGGGUAUGCAUACCCUCUUGUAUGUACCAUAUGAAUAAGGAUCGGCUAACUCCGUGCCAGCAGCCGCGGUAAUACGGAGGAUCCGAGCGUUAUCCGGAUUUAUUGGGUUUAAAGGGAGCGUAGGUGGGUUGUUAAGUCAGUUGUGAAAGUUUGCGGCUCAACCGUAAAAUAGCAGUUGAAACUGGCAGUCUUGAGUACGGGAGAGGUAGGCGGAAUUCGUGGUGUAGCGGUGAAAUGCUUAGAUAUCACGAAGAACUCCGAUUGCGAAGGCAGCUCGCUGGACUGAAACUGACGCUGAUGCUCGAAAGUGUGGGUAUCAAACAGGAUUAGAUACCCGUGUAGUC